UAUUGUGCCUCCCAAAGAUGUCCCUGUGGAUCUGCACUUGAAGGCAUUCGUGGGUUACAGAAGCAGGUGACCCUUUGCAAGUCACAGUUCAUUUCAGGACAGCACUUAGAGGAGGGCAAGAUGUAUAAAUUUUCCAUAUGCCCAGUGGAUUCUUGGGGGCCUGAGAAACCAUUUAAUGGUUCUAUCUACCCAAAGUUUCUCAUGACCUUUUAUUUCCUCAGUUUGAAACCUGUAAAAAGAAAAUGGAAAAACUGAUAUGUAAGUUUAAGAUGGUUCUUUUUUUUUUUUUUUUUUUUUUUGAGACAGAUUCUAGCUUUGUCGCCCAGGCUGGAGUACAGUGGGGCAAUCCCGGUUCACUGCAACCUCUACCUCCUGGGUUCAAGCAAUUCUUCUGCCUCAGCCUCCUGAGUACUGGGACCACAGGUGCCCACCACUGCGCCCAGCUAAUUUUUGUAUUUUUAGUAGAGACAGGAGUUCACCAUGUUGGCCAGGCUGGUCUUGAACUCCUGACCUCAGGUGAUCCACCCGCCUUGGCUUCCGAAAGUGCUGGGAUUACAGGCAUGAGCCACCACGCCCGGCUAAGAUCAUUAUUUUCUGUUUUUAGUCAGGUGAUCUCAUAAUCACAAAAUGUUUAAUUGAUGAUUUGUCAAUUUGUAGUUUUGGCCACUAGAACUACAAGAGUUAGGAUGCACCUUUAUAUUACAGUCAUACAUAACCUCAGCUAGUGAAGAAAAAAACUGCUCUAUUUGUGGAAGAUAAGAUACUUUUUACAUCCCCUUUAUGAUAUUUUAAACCCUUAGUGCAUGCAGGUAUAUAUGUAGACUCAUGCUGUCUUUAAAUCCCAAACCUAAUAUAUUACUGUAGUACUUUAACCCUCAAGUGUUUUGGGGGUUCCUUCUUAAGUGAAACCCUUAAAUAUCAAUUGAUGACCCAGAAGUGGCUUUAUUUUCUGGGCCUUGCAUUUUGAAAGAACAUUCUAUACAAAACAAGUCUCUUGUGUUUCAUUGAUUGGCCAUAGCACCCAGUUUCAUGUAUUUGAAUUGACAAGACAGCUCCCUCGAUUCUCCAUGUAUGCGCUGACCAGCCUGGACCCUGCCAGUGAGCCAAUCAGUUAUGUUAACUUUACCAUUGCAGAACGGGCACAGAGGGUGAGUAUCUCGCUUUUCUCUUUCAAUGCUUUUACACAGUAGAAUCCUUUAGAUGUUAUUUCAUAGAAAGGGAAAAUUACAUUAAUGUGUUAUAUUGGUAGCAGUAAAUAUGAUAUGAAAGAAUUCUCUAACUUGGGGGUGGCUUGUAACCUGUAAUAAAAAUAUUGCUAAAAUACCUUCUCUCACUUUGAAAAAGCAUCUGAGCAAUCCUCAGUUAUUGGUGAAUUCUUACCAGUGUUUAAUUCCUCUCUUUCCGUUAUGGUCUUAGUGUGGUUGUCCUGGUGUAGUAUUUCAAGAGGAACCUGCAGCAAGAUGAAAAGAGAGUGGGACUUGGAGCUAAGAACGUUUUUUGGCUUUAAGUGCUACGUUAACUCAUUAAAUUCUUAGUGAUCUUGGGGAAUUCCCCUCACCAGUGUGAGCCUCAGUUUUCUUAUCUAAUAAGUAAGGAUAAUCUUACCCACCUUAUUGCGGGGGCCCGAGGAUUACAUGAUUGGUGUAACAGUAGCACCUUGUACAUUUGAAAGGACUAAUACCAGUGGACUUUAACCUUGGCUGGGCUUUGGAAUUCUUGGUGGGACUUUUUAAUCAUGUAGAUUCUCAGGCCCCUGCCUGGCCUGUGGAACCACAGACUCUAUAGGUGGGCCCUUCCAGAAGGCCUCAUGGGUGGUUCUCAUGUGGAACCUGUGUUGCAAGCCACUGCAUGGUGUUACUGCUAUUAACAUUAAAACUUAUAUUUUCCUUAUUGUGUGGAUAUAUCUGUGGUGUUUGCCCAUGUAUACUUCAUUUUACAUUUCUUAAAGAAUAGAAUGGAAUGGUUUUAAGCACGCUACAUUGUCCAGGUUAUACCCACAGAAGAGCUGUUGUGUAACAGCAUCAGCAUCAUACCUGAAUCAUUUGUACAUUGCAUAUAAGACUAUGUCUAAGUAGAAGAUGCUAUGAAAUCAUGUCUGCUGUGGGGCCAGGCAUAAUUAUGAAUGUUACUUAAGAGCAUAGGUGAGGUGAGAAAAGGGAGGGUGACUAGUGUUUUAGUAUUUUCUUGGUGUGGGAUGAAGUAUAAUUCUUUUUUUUUUUUCUCAACAAAGCAGUAAAAAUAGAAAGAAGGAGAACUCUUCCCUCAAGAAUGGCUGUACCUUCAUAUCUAGAGGCACAUUAAAAAAAAGAAUGUCUGUACCUUAAAGAUGGAGGUCAUUUCAUUGUGUUCAUUUUCAAGGUUGUCGUAUGGCUCGGUCAGAACUUUCUGUUACCAGAAGACACUCACAUUCAGAACGCUCCAUUUCAAGUGUGUUUCACAUCUUUACGGAAUGGUGGCCACCUGCAUAUAAAAAUAAAACUUAGUGGAGAGAUCACUAUAAAUACUGAUGAUAUUGAUUUGGCUGGUGAUAUCAUCCAGUCAAUGGCAUCAUUUUUUGCUAUUGAAGACCUUCAAGUAGAAGCGGAUUUUCCUGUCUAUUUUGAGGAAUUACAAAAGGUGCUAGUUAAGGUGAGGGAAUGCGGUAGAUGCAUUUGUGAGAAUGUGGUAGUCUAAUAAUAUUUGAGGAGAUUAAUGGUAUACAAAUGUACUUAUGUUAUAGUGAUGUUUUCAAGAAUUUUUGCAAUUCUUGAAGUAAAAAUUGAACUAGUACUGGAAAGUUUACUACUUAAGGAUUUAUUUUAUAAAAGGAAGUGUUUAGCUCCUGAGCACCAUGCUUGCUUUGUUUGGUUUAAAGUGAUGCAUUUAAAUAUUAACAUUUUCCUUUGUUAGCUCUUCAUCUUAUUUGUAGUAUCUGCUUUGGUCUUCAGUUUGGGUCUUUCCAAAAACCCAAAUUCAAGAUAAAAGAGCAAAAUAAAGAUGAUUCUGAUUGGCCCCAAAGUAUACAAUAUUCCCACUGCAAAUCCCUAAAAUAUUAAUAUGUGUGUUGUGGGGGCUCCUGGUGCUAAAGCAUGGGGAAGAUUCACAUGGAGUGUCCUGUUGAAAUUGGAGGCAGCACAGAUGAGCUAACUUGUUGAGACAGAGAUGAAAUAACGGGAAGUAGCUUAAUUGGUAUAAGCGAACAGGGGAAAGAAGGGGGUCUCUGUAUCUGGUAAAUAGUGUCUUUUCAUUUUUCUGGGUUCAAGAAGUUUGUGAGGCCUUUUUCAUUCCUGAGUGUUCAUGGUCUCCAGGUGGAUGAAUAUCAUUCAGUGCAUCAGAAGCUCAGUGCUGAUAUGGCUGAUCAUUCUAAUUUGAUCCGAAGUUUGCUGGUCGGAGCUGAGGAUGCUCGUCUGAUGAGGGACAUGAAAACAAUGAAGAGUCGUUAUAUGGAACUCUAUGACCUUAAUAGAGACUUGCUAAAUGGAUAUAAAAUUCGCUGUAACAAUCACACAGAGCUGUUGGGAAACCUCAAAGCAGUAAAUCAAGCAAUUCAAAGAGCAGGUCGUCUGCGGGUUGGAAAACCAAAGAACCAGGUGAUCACUGCUUGUCGGGAUGCAAUUCGAAGCAAUAACAUCAACACACUGUUCAAAAUCAUGCGAGUGGGGACAGCUUCUUCCUAGGAGAGGAAAAUACAGGUCAUGAAGUUCCUGGCAAAGAUUUUCUGUUAAAAACCUAUGCUGGUUUGCUUUGGAUCACACCCUGGUGAACCCUGGGUGCUAAGAACGAAAAUAACCUUGGUGAGUUGUACAAAUUAAAGACAGAACUACAUGUGAAGAUAGACUUGCUUUCUAUUUUUAAAUCAGUAGUAGUACUGUUGCUGAAUAAUACUAGGUUUUUAUGGAAUAGGAUGAAUGCUUUUGAAGUAUUAGGGCUUCAGAGUCCAAUUUUUGCUUAUUUAUGGUAUAUAAAUACAUAUUUUUUUCUUGAAAUUGCAAUUGAGUUUGUACUUUUCAAAUAGAUUAUCUACUUUUUCAUUAAAAUGUAAAGAUGUU
This 4028-nucleotide small RNA is filed under the name Pan troglodytes (chimpanzee). RNAcentral describes it as "retained intron". Lineage: Eukaryota; Metazoa; Chordata; Mammalia; Primates; Hominidae. The record is from RNAcentral.